CCUACGGGGGGCAGCAGUAGGGAAUCUUUCACAAUGGGCGAAAGCCUGAUGGAGCAACGCCGCGUGCAGGAUGAAGGCCUUCGGGUUGUAAACUGCUUUUAUAAGCGAGAAAUAUGAUGGUAACUUAUGAAUAAGGAUCGGCUAACUACGUGCCAGCAGCCGCGGUCAUACGUAGGAUCCGAGCAUUAUCCGGAGUGACUGGGUGUAAAGAGUUGCGUAGGUGGCAUAAUAAGUAGCUGGUGAAAUCUGGUGGCUCAACCAUUCAGACUAUUAGCUAAACUGUUAAGCUCGAGACCGUUAGGGGUAACUGGAAUUGCUAGUGUAGGAGUGAAAUGCGUAGAUAUUAGAAGGAACACCAAUGGCGAAGGCAGGUUACUGGGACGGUUCUGACACUAAGGCACGAAAGCGUAGGGAGCAAACGGGAUUAGAUACCCGUGUAGUC
This 442-nucleotide ribosomal RNA is filed under the name uncultured bacterium. RNAcentral describes it as "partial 16S ribosomal RNA". It matches the Rfam family "Bacterial small subunit ribosomal RNA", at positions 338 to 795 of the family's 1533-position model. The record is from RNAcentral.